AAUGGGAGUGAAAAGGUUAUGUUCAGGUGUUCUAGUAGCAUAAUUUGCAUUUCAAACCCAUUGUUGCUUGUGCUUUUACAGGUUCUUGGCAAGAGAACACAGUGAACCUUCCACCGGUUUGGAACGCAUCCUUACUAGUAACCAGAUACCCUUUUAAGGUCUUUGCUUGCCCACAGGUAUCCCUGCGGAGAGGAACCAGUCUCUUCCUAGCUUUACGCUUGGAGUUCUGCAGGUACGCAGGUAGUGUCGAUGGAUCCCAAAACAAUACAAGUGACCAAGGGAAUUUGCAGGUGUAUGGGUUAAAUAAGACACAAACAAAAUUUCCACAGUGUGUUUUUCAGAUUCACUUCAGGACAUGACGGUGAGUCUGUCAAUAGUAGUUCAUGUGAGACCC
Lynx canadensis (Canada lynx) is the source of this 394-nucleotide long non-coding RNA. RefSeq lists it as uncharacterized. NCBI's taxonomy places the organism in Eukaryota, Metazoa, Chordata, Mammalia, Carnivora, Felidae. The record is from RefSeq and is a predicted model, not a curated record. The transcript has 3 exons.